UGGGAAUAUUGGCACAUGGGCGAAAGGCCUGAUGCAGCAACGCCGCGUGAGUGAUGAAGGCCUUCGGGUUGNAAAGCUCUGUCUUUUGGGACGAUAAUGACGGUACCAAAGGAGGAAGCCACGGCUAACUACGUGCCAGCAGCCGCGGUAAUACGUAGGUGGCAAGCGUUGUCCGGAUUUACUGGGCGUAAAGGAUGCGUAGGCGGAUUUUUAAGUGAGAUGUGAAAUACCCGGGCUUAACUUGGGUGCUGCAUUUCAAACUGGGAAUCUAGAGUGCGGGAGAGGAGAAUGGAAUUUCCUAUGUAGCGGUGAAAUGCGUAGAGAUUAGGAAGAACACCAGUGGCGAAGGCGAUUCUCUGGACCGUAACUGACGCUGAGGCAUGAAAGCGUGGGUAGCAAACAGGAUUAGAUACCCUGGUAGUCCACGCCGU
This 431-nucleotide ribosomal RNA is filed under the name uncultured bacterium. RNAcentral's name for it is "partial 16S ribosomal RNA". It matches the Rfam family "Bacterial small subunit ribosomal RNA", at positions 356 to 803 of the family's 1533-position model. The record is from RNAcentral.